RNAcentral lists this transfer RNA (60 nucleotides) under Poecilia formosa (Amazon molly). Lineage: Eukaryota; Metazoa; Chordata; Actinopteri; Cyprinodontiformes; Poeciliidae. The record is from Rfam by way of RNAcentral.
GUGGUGCAGUUGGUAGCACUGUUGCCUUGGAGCAAGAAGGUUCUGGGUUCGAUUCCCAGC